UUUGGCUACCCAGCAGCAUAUGGAGUUCUCCGGCUAGGGAUUAAUUAGAUCUAAGCUAUAGUUUCGACCUACACUUUAGCGGCUGCUACACAGGAUCCGUAACCUACUGUGCUGGGCUGGGACUUGAACCUGUGACCCAGCACUCCAAAGAGGCCACUGAUGGUGUUGCACCACAGUGGGAACUCCUUUUUUCUUUUUUUGGCCACACCUGAGGCAUAUGGACGUUUCUGGGCCAGGGACUGAAUUCAAGCCAAAGCUGCAACAUGCUCCACAGCGGCAGUAACACCAGAUAUUUAACCCACUGUGCUGGGCUGAGGAUUGAACCCUCUCUGCCACGGAGACAGUGCCAGAUCCUUAACCUGCUGGGCCACAGUGGGAACUCCUUUUCCUUUUUUUAAUAUUAAGAGAUUUUUAGAAUUUGUAAAUGUUAAUUGCUGGGUAAUUGUGUCUUCAGCAGCUCCCUGCAGAGUUGAGGCUGAGAGGGUGGUGUGUUAAAUUCUGCCACAACGGGGAGAUUUCCAUCUGUGCGUCACAGUAUGUGCAUGACUCCAGAGUGAGUUUCUCUGGAAGGUCUGAGCCAGAGUCAGGCUAGUAGCUGUGAGGCAAAAAGCAAUGCUUGCUCUAAGUCCCAUUUUAAUUGUCUAGUAUUUACAUCUAAAUGUUCCCCCCCAAAAUAAACUAAGCCCCUAACUACCCUAAGUUUAAUGCAAAGCCAUUUCAAAGGAAGAGCAACUAUUUCUAUUCUACUCAGGCUAUUAAACUUUACAAGCUAUGAUUGAGAUGGCACAUGUCAAUGUAGGGUAAUUCCUCAAAGAUACAAAGUUUCCUAAAAAUGAUAGAGGUAAGAAAGGGUCGAUGGAUGAUUUUCAAGACUCAUAUUUCAUUUUACAUUUAGGGGUUAGAAUAAAGUAAAGCAUAACAAGAGAAAUGGUUUUUAAUACUGAGUAGAAAAAUGCAAUAUAUAUGUACAAAAUAGAUGCUUCGUUUGAAUUAGUAUUUACAUGUUUUGUGAGCUCAAAUAAUAUAUGUUUUUCAUUAUUUUAGUAAAAUUAAAGAAUGGGCAUUCAGCUAUCUUUAAAUUUUCAUAUUGCUCAAGCUAGUUUAGGCCUGCCAGAUCAUUUUGGUCUAAUAAAUUCCUACGCGAACGUUGCACGAAUACUAAAAGACAAGGUAAUAUUUUUCUUUUAAAUGUGGAUUGAAGAAAAACAUAUUAAUAGAUAGCUACGUUUUUAUGUUAGCCAUUAUUGGAAUUUACUAAUGAGAACUGUGACAUGCUAUUUCCUAUUUCUUUAAUAUGUUCUAUAUUAUAAAAUGUUUUUCGACAUUAUAGGCGUUAAUUGCAUAACUUGAAAAACAAUUCUUCGCAGUUUGGUGUGAUUUAUGGGCCUGCCAGUGGUGACUAGGUACGGGAGCACUUUGGCUUUUGUGGACUUGUGGGGAAAGGAUGUGUGAAAAGUCGAGGACUCCCAAUUAGAGACAGGCUCUGAGAAAAAAUUUUUAAAAAAUCUAUCCUGCUGAGAGGCAGGCAUGUUUUCUGGAUGACAAAUGUCUGGAGUUCUCAGUUUUACAAAAAAAGAGAGCGUUCACCCUUGCCCUCUCCUCCUUUUGUCAUGUAGGUAGGUAACCUAAGCUGUGGAAAAAAAAAGAGAACCAUCUGGAACAAAUACUGUGGUUUCACAGACACAGUCUUAUUCUUGGCCCCAUCCUCUUCCUCUUAUGGAUGGCAAACAGUGUGUGGAGGACAGAUUUUUGGAAAAUUGUCUUAGGAGAGAAAUCCUCCUAAGGCAGUUAUGGUGUGUCAGCAUCUUGGAGGUUUCUAUGCAUUUUGUCAUACUGUUAAGGAGGCUUUCUGUGAGCUGCCGAGCUUCAGGAAGCUUUUACCUUCCACUCAGUUUUAAUUGUGGAAUUGAUGGAAUUUUGCCACCUCUCGAGGUAAGUUAGACAUCAGAGCCUUGGGAUUUAUGUAUGAGCGAUCUUUCACUGCGUAUUGACGUGAAUCUGAAAAGUCCACUACACUGUCUCGGCUAUCACGGUCAACUGAAGAAAUUCUUCACCAGUUUUCUUUGUAAGGGAGAAAUUAAGUACAUCCUUCACGUUAUUUAUGAUACUCCAUACUUUUAUUUUAUCAUGCAUCCCUUCACUAGAGUGGACGACUUAAAUGGCAUCCUGUUACUUGUUUCAGGUGAGAGAACAAGAUUUAAUAUGGAGAAAUAGAGAAAAUUUGCAGCUUACAUUAUCCUGAAAGAGGUACAAUAUUUCAGCCAGUUAAUGGGCGUGGAAAAACCAUCUUGAGAAGAGACCAGGAAUGGUGAGUCCCUAAGCAGAAAGAAGGAAUCUUACUCCGUCUGAAGGGCCUUGGAGAAAUCACCACGACUCCAGCAACAGCGUCGGCUCCAUCUCAGGAGGCAGAACUGGGUUUUUCCAGGCCUGAAGGGCUGCAUAUGUGCAAGGAGGAUGAAAGACAGAGGAAGGAGGACACACCACCAUGGGACUGAACUUCAAAGACAUUAUGCUAGUGAAAGAAGGCGACACAAAGGUCACAUAAUAACUGCAUUUGUAAGGAAUAACCAGAACAGCUAAAUCCAGAGAAACAAAAAACAAAUUAGUGGCUACCAGGGGUUGGGGGAGGGAGGGGUGAGGGAACGAGGGCUUCCUAGGUAUUGAAUUUUCUUUUGGGGUGAUGAAAAUCUUUCAGAACAAGCUAGAAGGCCCUAAACGACCUGGAACUGCUCACUUUAAUAUGGUUAUUGUUAUGGGAAUGUGAAUUUUGUCUCAAUUGAAAAGCACUUGAAAUCAUUUUACUCUUAUGAUAAACCUGUGAUGUGGGCACCAUCUCCCCCAUUUCUCAGAUGACUCAAGUUUUAUUUCACUGAGGUACAUAUUAUUUUUAGCAGAGGAAACUUGGCAUUUGACACUUUAUAAGUGAUGGAAAAAUCUAAGAAUUAAUGCUUUGAGGAAGGCAUAAAAUGACCAAGGCAUGCCGGUCAGGUUCAGCUGAUGCUGACUACCCAGUCCCCUUUGCUAUGAGCGUGUGGAUGGAAUCACUGUCCCAACCAACAGAAGAGGAGCCCACCUGCCUUAGCCAGUGAGACAAAUGACAAAUAACAGAGUGGGCCUGCUUCAUCUUCCUCUGAGCUAUAAAAUCUUUUUUUUUUUUUUUUUUUUUUUGUCUUUUUAGGGCUGCA
Non-coding RNA from Sus scrofa (pig), 3185 nucleotides. NCBI's taxonomy places the organism in Eukaryota, Metazoa, Chordata, Mammalia, Artiodactyla, Suidae. The record is from RefSeq and is a predicted model, not a curated record.